AGAGUUUGAUCGUGGCUAAAAAGAACGCUGGCGGCAGGCCUAACACAUGCAAGUCGAGCGGUAGCACAGAGAGCUUGCUCUCGGGUGACGAGCGGCGGACGGGUGAGUAAUGUCUGGGAAACUGCCUGAUGGAGGGGGAUAACUACUGGAAACGGUAGCUAAUACCGCAUAACGUCGCAAGACCAAAGAGGGGGACCUUCGGGCCUCUUGCCAUCAGAUGUGCCCAGAUGGGAUUAGCUAGUAGGUGGGGUAACGGCUCACCUAGGCGACGAUCCCUAGCUGGUCUGAGAGGAUGACCAGCCACACUGGAACUGAGACACGGUCCAGACUCCUACGGGAGGCAGCAGUGGGGAAUAUUGCACAAUGGGCGCAAGCCUGAUGCAGCCAUGCCGCGUGUAUGAAGAAGGCCUUCGGGUUGUAAAGUACUUUCAGCGGGGAGGAAGGUGUUGUGGUUAAUAACCACAGCAAUUGACGUUACCCGCAGAAGAAGCACCGGCUAACUCCGUGCCAGCAGCCGCGGUAAUACGGAGGGUGCAAGCGUUAAUCGGAAUUACUGGGCGUAAAGCGCACGCAGGCGGUCUGUCAAGUCGGAUGUGAAAUCCCCGGGCUCAACCUGGGAACUGCAUUCGAAACUGGCAGGCUAGAGUCUUGUAGAGGGGGGUAGAAUUCCAGGUGUAGCGGUGAAAUGCGUAGAGAUCUGGAGGAAUACCGGUGGCGAAGGCGGCCCCUGGACAAAGACUGACGCUCAGUGCGAAAGCGUGGGGAGCAAACAGGAUUAGAUACCCUGGUAGUCCACGCCGUAAACGAUGUCGACUUGGAGGUUGUGCCCUUGAGGCGUGGCUUCCGGAGCUAACGCGUUAAGUCGACCGCCUGGGGAGUACGGCCGCAAGGUUAAAACUCAAAUGAAUUGACGGGGGCCCGCACAAGCGGUGGAGCAUGUGGUUUAAUUCGAUGCAACGCGAAGAACCUUACCUACUCUUGACAUCCAGAGAACUUAGCAGAGAUGCUUUGGUGCCUUCGGGAACUCUGAGACAGGUGCUGCAUGGCUGUCGUCAGCUCGUGUUGUGAAAUGUUGGGUUAAGUCCCGCAACGAGCGCAACCCUUAUCCUUUGUUGCCAGCGGUUAGGCCGGGAACUCAAAGGAGACUGCCAGUGAUAAACUGGAGGAAGGUGGGGAUGACGUCAAGUCAUCAUGGCCCUUACGAGUAGGGCUACACACGUGCUACAAUGGCGCAUACAAAGAGAAGCGACCUCGCGAGAGCAAGCGGACCUCAUAAAGUGCGUCGUAGUCCGGAUUGGAGUCUGCAACUCGACUCCAUGAAGUCGGAAUCGCUAGUAAUCGUAGAUCAGAAUGCUACGGUGAAUACGUUCCCGGGCCUUGUACACACCGCCCGUCACACCAUGGGAGUGGGUUGCAAAAGAAGUAGGUAGCUUAACCUUCGGGAGGGCGCUUACCACUUUGUGAUUCAUGACUGGGGUGAAGUCGUAACAAGGUA
This 1495-nucleotide ribosomal RNA is filed under the name Enterobacter ludwigii. RNAcentral's name for it is "16S ribosomal RNA". It matches the Rfam family "Bacterial small subunit ribosomal RNA". Lineage: Bacteria; Pseudomonadati; Pseudomonadota; Gammaproteobacteria; Enterobacterales; Enterobacteriaceae. The record is from RNAcentral.